This 1416-nucleotide long non-coding RNA is filed under the name Coffea arabica (coffee). Its description in RNAcentral is "long non-coding RNA (CARA_LNC002606)". The record is from RNAcentral. Lineage: Eukaryota; Viridiplantae; Streptophyta; Magnoliopsida; Gentianales; Rubiaceae.
GCAACAAAAAAGGGGGGAACAAUUAGAGGGAGGAGCUACGAAAGAGGCGAACGAAGAAACAGAGAGAUUGGGAGUGACGGCUAAAGGAGAAAAGAAAAGAGAAAAAAGGGAAACAGAAAAUAGGGAGAGCUUGGUCUGAGGGGAGUUUCGGCUGAGAAAGAAAAGGAAAGGCAGCAGAAGGAAAAACAGAAGAAAAGAAAGAAACAGAGGCGAAGAACAAGAAGAAAUCUGGAAAAUUGGGGAGGGGGUUUUCAGGUGAAUCAAAAUAAGAACAGAGUGCUUCAUCGGAAGCUAAAAAAAAAAAGAGAGGAAAGAAACGAGGGGAGCAAGAGAGGGAGCUUCGGCCUUGAGAGAAAAACAGAGGAGGCGGACGGACGAGGAAAGAAAAGGGCAAGGGGCAACGAAAGAAAGAAAAGCCUGCGAAUUUGGGGGAUUUUGGGGGUUAGCAGCCGAGAGAAGAUCUGGGGGGUCUUGAGGGCUGAUGAAAGGAAAAGAGCGGCUAGGUUUUGGGGCAUGAGAGCUUUAGCAAGAGCAGAGAGAAAUCUGGAAAUUGGGAAGGGGCUUCAACUUCAAUCAUCCGGAAAAAAUUUCCAAAUCACCACCGCCGAAUUGCCCACCACCGCAACCCGCUUCCACCGCUCUCUCUCUAUCCUCCGUCCUCAAAUUCCCCCCAAUUUCUCCAAGCAACUCCUUCACAAAACCCCUCAUUUCCAUUCUGCUCUUCCCCGUUUCCAACACAAGCCUUUUCUGCCGUUACUCCCCAACGUCUUCACCGCAGCCUUUCUCCUCCACCACCGUCUCUGCCCCUCCAAAUCCUAAACCAAACCAGAAAAAACCACCGUCUCUGCCCUUCCAAAUCCUAAACCAAACCAGAAAAAACCACAGUCGUCCCCCUCCUCAGACCUUACCAACAACGUCCGCCUCAUAUCACCGGUGGACCGCCUCCGACUAUGCCAGUCCCCCACUCGUCGACUUCCUCCUCCGUCGCAACUGCCGCAGUGACUGCCAAGAAGAAGCCUCCAACUGACGCAACCACCAGAGCUGCUGCUUCUCGCUCCAAGUCAACCGCUGCAGCGCCUAAACCAAAGCAAAGAUGAAGCCGGUGAAGCAACGUCGGACUCCACCUCUACCGCCCGUACGUUGUCCCUGUGAUAGCCCGCUGUAAGUCAACCUUUUCUUUUACGUUUCAGUCCUUUUUUCGGAGAAGGUUUGCCGUGGACUGUGGUGGCAAAUUUUUGUGUUGUCUGUUCAUGAUUUUUCUGAUUGUACAUGUUAUAUGUGUUGAUUGGGCUGAAUGUCUUGGGUUGCUGGUAAAAUUUUGGGGCGGGUUGUGGAUUCGUUUGAGCAGGGAUUAGCUGAAAUUAUGUGUGCCCGUCUAGUGUUCGACGAAAUGCCCCAUUGAGAUUUUUGCCUGAA